This 2692-nucleotide long non-coding RNA is filed under the name Medicago truncatula (barrel medic). RNAcentral describes it as "long non-coding RNA (MTRU_LNC005945)". The record is from RNAcentral. Lineage: Eukaryota; Viridiplantae; Streptophyta; Magnoliopsida; Fabales; Fabaceae.
UUCAUAUAUGCCAAGUUCUAAUAUCAUUGUAUUUGUUCCUAUAUAAGGAGAAAGUUUAGGUAGAUUUUUAAUUGUAAGAUUUUGAUCUACAACAAAAGAGAUAAAGAGAGUUUAAGAAGUGAUAUGGGAGAGUAUGGUUAUGCAUACCGUAGCAUCUCGACUUACAGUACCAUAAGAAAUGGAAUACGUGAGCCUGCUGUUAUAAAACCAUUUGUUCCUUUCAAUCCCAAAAGUAAUAAUGGUAGUAAUUACUCAGAGGGUGCUGUUAACAGUAAAAAAAUUGUACCAGUUACUGGCAGGCCUUAUGAUGAGCCUGCAACAGAGAAAUAUCCCUCUUCAGAGGAUGAAUUUGAUGAUGAUGAAAGGCGUCGUCAAUUAAGCCCUGUUCAUAGCUCUCCGCGUAAAGUUGAUGUUCAGUUCCCAGCUAAGGUGCAGCAGAAUCAUGAAGGUAGCCAUGAUCCUCAAAGGUACGGGCCCAUUGUUGAUCGCGGUCGCCAUACACCACAGCCUAGUGCUGAUGGACGUAAGCCAAUUGGAGGUAGUACCGUUAACAACCAUAAUGAUAGUUAUGGUACUAAUUAUCCAUAUGGUGGUGACAGAGACGGACGCAAGCCAAUUGGAAUUAGUCCAAUUAAGAAUCGCAAAUAUGGUGGUGGUCCUAAUGGUUAUGGUGGUGCUCAUCGUGCAACAGCUAUAGGGGAUCCAAGUCCACAUAAAGACAGGCGUAAACCAAUUGGAGGUGGCAUAAUGAGUAGUGAUGAUGGCUAUAAUAAUGGAUAUGGUGGUGACAAAGAUGGACGCAGGCCGAUUGGAAUUAGUCCAGUAAAGAAUGAUAAAUAUGAUGGUACUAAUGGCUACGGCAGUGAUCACCGUGCAACACCUGUUGGGGAUCCAAAUCCCUACAAAGAAGGUCGUAAACCAAUUGGAGGUGGCAACCUAAGGAGUACUCAUGAUGGCUAUCAUGAUAACGGAUACGGUGGUGACAAAGGACACAAGCCAAUUGGAAUUAGUCCAACUAGGAGUAACAAUUAUGAUGGUCCUAAUGGGUUUGGCGGUGACCAUCGUGCAACAAGUGUGGGGGAUCCAAAUCCCUACCAAGAAGGCCGUAAACCAAUUGGAGGUGGCAACCUAAGGAGUACUCAUGAUGGCUAUCAUGAUAAUGGAUACGGUGGUGACAAAGAAGGACGCAAGCCAGUUGGAAUUAGUCCAACUGGGAAUAGCAAUUAUGAUGGUCCUAAUCGGUAUAGUGGUGACCAUCGUGCAACAAGUGUAGGAGAUCCAAAUCCCUACAAAGAAGGGCGUAAACCAAUCGGAGUAGUUAGCCUAAAGAGUACUCAUGAUGGCUACAAUAACGGUAAAGGAUAUGGUGGUGACACAGAAGUACGCAAGCCUAUUGGAAUUGGAAGUAAUAUUAAGAAUGACAACUAUGAUGGUCCUCAUAGGUAUGGUGGUGACCACCGUGCAGCAGCCGUUGGAGAUCCAAAUCCUUAUAAAGAAGGACGCAAACCAAUUGGAGUAGGUAGCAUAAGGAGUACUCAAGAUGGCUAUGAUAGCCCUAAUGGAUAUGGCAGUGACUACAACAAAAAAGAAGGAUACAAGCCCACUAGGAACGGCAACUAUGGUAACGGCUAUGGUAUUAGUAACCACAACGAUAAGCCGUUUGUAAGUAGUAGCAAUCCUAAAUAUGAUGAUGGUGAUAACGCUGCUAAUUAUUACAACAACAGAUCCAAUUUCAAUGGGCCAAAAAUUAAUUCAUAUUGGACUGCAGCACCAAGAAAAGGGACUCAAUUAAGCGAGCCAAUUCAUGACAUUGACAAGGCCAUGGAGUUGUUGAAGAUGGAAGCUGCAAAGCGUGAUCAACAACAUAGUCCAACUCCAGGUAAUGCCUCUCCUCGCUUUACUGACAGGACUGGUUCCGGUGCUGCCAUGAGGCCUUAUGGAAAUGUUAACCAGCUUCAGUCACGACCACGUGAUUCACAAACACGUGUCACGUUCAUUGAUGAUGCAAGUGAUUACGAUGAUGAUUAUUAUAGGAGGGAUGAUAGAGGACGUUAUGGAUUCCAUGAUGCAGUUAUUGACAGUAGGGAGGCUGAGAAGAAGUUCAAAGGCACCAGGGUCUGAAAAUUAAUUAGCUACCUUGCUAGAUAGUAUGAAUUAUAUGGAGUUAUUUUCCAUCAAUAAUAACACUUUUCACGUUUCAGGUCAUCAAGUUUUAGUUAUAUAUGAUUAUGGAACUAGUGUAUGGAACUAUGUAUCAUGGCAUAGGCACCUAUAUGGUUCCCUACCUUUCUGUACUGGUUAAAGAGUAAAAAAAUAUGUGGUGUGUAAGGGUUGAAUGAAUGAAUAAAUACGUGGAGUGUUUAUUAAGUAACGCCCCUUUUUCUUUUUCAAUUAGUGGCUGGUCAUUCAUGCCUACAUUAAAAUGGUUCCACUCUAAUCAGAAGUUAUAUACUUCCAAUUCUAGAGAAUAUCUUUCAGUCCAUUUUUUUAUGAUUAUGUGCUGCAAGAUGUUAUGUUCAUUAUCAAUGUAUAUAAUACUUAUCAAACGUUGUAGGGAAAAUUUAGAAAAUGAGCUCGCAUUUAAAUUAGUUGAGAAAACAAUCUUACAGUAAUGGUUAUGAGUUGACAACAAAUAUACAUGUGACAAUUUCAUUGAUGCAUAAAACAAAGUUAUUAAAUAUGUAAAUGAUCC